Molecule: transfer RNA, 76 nt
Filed under: Blattabacterium sp. (Blattella germanica) str. Bge
Lineage: Bacteria; Pseudomonadati; Bacteroidota; Flavobacteriia; Flavobacteriales; Blattabacteriaceae
Description: tRNA-Lys
Rfam family: tRNA
About the family: Transfer RNA (tRNA) molecules are approximately 80 nucleotides in length.
Source: RNAcentral
GACCUGAUAGCUCAGCUGGUAGAGCAUUACACUUUUAAUGUAAGGGUCCUGGGUUCGAAUCCCAGUCAGGUCAUUU